RNAcentral lists this ribosomal RNA (440 nucleotides) under uncultured bacterium. Its description in RNAcentral is "partial 16S ribosomal RNA". It matches the Rfam family "Bacterial small subunit ribosomal RNA", at positions 338 to 795 of the family's 1533-position model. The record is from RNAcentral.
CCUACGGGAGGCAGCAGUGGGGGAUAUUGCACAAUGGGGGAAACCCUGAUGCAGCGACGCCGCGUGUGGGAAGACGGUCCUCUGGAUUGUAAACCACUGUCCCCAGGGACGAAGAUGACGGUACCUGGGGAGGAAGCUCCGGCUAACUACGUGCCAGCAGCCGCGGUAAUACGUAGGGAGCGAGCGUUGUCCGGAAUUACUGGGUGUAACGGGAGCGUAGGCGGGACUGCAAGUUGGGUGUCAAAUCUACCGGCUCAACCGGUAGCCGCACUCAAAACUGCAGUUCUUGAGUGAAGUAGAGGCAGGCGGAAUUCCUAGUGUAGCGGUGAAAUGCGUAGAUAUUAGGAGGAACACCAGUGGCGAAGGCGGCCUGCUGGGCUUUUACUGACGCUGAGGCUCGAAAGUGUGGGGAGCAAACAGGAGUAGAUACCCGAGUAGUC